RNAcentral lists this ribosomal RNA (515 nucleotides) under uncultured bacterium. RNAcentral describes it as "bacterial SSU rRNA". It matches the Rfam family "Bacterial small subunit ribosomal RNA", at positions 15 to 518 of the family's 1533-position model. The record is from RNAcentral.
GAUCCUGGCUUAGGAUGAACGCUGGCGGCAGGCUUAAUACAUGCAAGUCGAACGGUAAGGUCCGAAGUGGCAACACGGAGGAUACACGAGUGGCGCACGGGUGCGUAACGCGUAUGCAACCUGCCCCCGACCGGGACAAAACAGCUGGAAACGGCUGCUAAUAUCCCAUGGUCAUGCGGAAGGGCAUCCUUCUUCAUGUAAAGAUUCAUUGGUCGGGGAUGGGCAUGCGUAUUAUUAGGUAGUUGGCGGGGUAACGGCCCACCAAGCCGACGAUGAUUAGGGGUCCUGAGAGGGUUAACCCCCACACUGGAACUGAGACACGGUCCAGACUCCUACGGGAGGCAGCAGUAGGGAAUAUUGGGCAAUGGGAGCAAUCCUGACCCAGCCAUGCCCGCGUGAAGGAAGACGGCCCUAUGGGUUGUAAACUUCUUUUGCCGCAGAGUAAACCCGGUCACGAGUGGUCGGUUGAGAGUAUGCGGCGAAUAAGUAUCGGCUAACUCCGUGCCAGCCGCCGC